RNAcentral lists this ribosomal RNA (495 nucleotides) under uncultured bacterium. Its description in RNAcentral is "partial 16S ribosomal RNA". It matches the Rfam family "Bacterial small subunit ribosomal RNA", at positions 28 to 505 of the family's 1533-position model. The record is from RNAcentral.
GAUGAACGCUGGCGGCGUGCCUAAUACAUGCAAGUCGAGCGAACAGACGAGGAGCUUGCUCCUCUGACGUUAGCGGCGGACGGGUGAGUAACACGUGGAUAACCUACCUAUAAGACUGGGAUAACUUCGGGAAACCGGAGCUAAUACCGGAUAAUAUAUUGAACCGCAUGGUUCAAUAGUGAAAGACGGUUUUGCUGUCACUUAUAGAUGGAUCCGCGCCGCAUUAGCUAGUUGGUAAGGUAACGGCUUACCAAGGCAACGAUGCGUAGCCGACCUGAGAGGGUGAUCGGCCCCCCUGGAACUGAGACACGGUCCAGACUCCUACGGGCGGCAGCAGUAGGGAAUCUUCCGCAAUGGGCGAAAGCUUGACGGAGCAACGCCGCGUGAGUGAUGAAGGUCUUCGGAUCGUAAAACUCUGUUAUUAGGGAAGAACAAAUGUGUAAGUAACUAUGCACGUCUUGACGGUACCUAAUCAGAAAGCCCCGGCUAACUCCG